Molecule: long non-coding RNA, 1468 nt
Organism: Crotalus tigris (Tiger rattlesnake)
Lineage: Eukaryota; Metazoa; Chordata; Lepidosauria; Squamata; Viperidae
Exons: 3
Source: RefSeq, a predicted model, not a curated record
ACCAACACAAAAACUUCAAAAAUUAAGGCAUUCCUUAUUACAUCCUGUAGAUUUUUAAAAUGUUCAUAGAAAUAAAAUUGAAAGUAAAUGUCAUCUUACAGAAUAUUCUUUCCUGUGAAAAACAAAGAAAUACUUCUUGGCAUUUGUUGCAAUACUGAUGCAUAUUACAGCUAGGAGUCUAAGUUGAAUUAAGACUCCAGUCCUAAAACUCUCUCUUUGACCUUGUAGUUGCUCUUCAAAUACUAUGAGAAGGGAUGCAGUGUUUGCAAACUGGCAGGCGAAAAGAAUAAUAAUGCACAUACGUUCGUCAAGGGUAGACUUUGCAUUCUAGUUGCAAUGCAACUUGUGUCAUGAUAUCAUGCAUUUUGAAUUUAGAAAAAAUGCAUUCAAUCCUGAACAGAACUACAGAAUUUCCCUAUACAAUAGGAAAAAAAAUAAUAAAAUCAGAAAAUGAAAAUUUUCCUCCCUUUCAUAAUGAAGGGAUCAGGACUUUGAAUAAGGUAGUUCUUUCAUCUUUGAAUCCCCACUUAACUAUUCAUUGAUUUUGUGCCAUCAAGUCUGUGUGAAUUCUUAAGGGAUCACAUAGAUAUUUUUCUCCAUGACAUUUAACUAUAGGGCAACUCUAAUAGUUAAGAGUUUGGAAAUGUGAGCCACUCAAUACAAUUUACACUUAUUCUUUCAGCCUCUUGCCACACAGAAUGUCAUAUGAAGCUCAACGUUCAGAUCAGCUGUACAGAUUACUGACAAAAGAAUAUAUAAAAAAAGCUUUGGACACUAUAAAAAAUCACAGGAAGACGAAGACCAAUUCCAUUGACAGGGAAUGCCUAGACGAGACUCCCAUUUUUGCAGGGCCUCCUUGAUAAGGCAUACCGAAAACAGAGGCGACUAAAGUUGAUGUGAAUAACUCAAGUAAAGAUUUGGAGUUUCCCCCACGUUUAGAUUUAUCAUGCAAUUUACUGCCGAAGGUACUUGUUGCUAACGAAUGCCCUCUGGAUGCAUCGACUUCAAGUCUCAAAAUACUUAGCAAUGACCAAGUUCCUAAAUAAAAGACGAUUUUCUCCAAACAAAACCCAUUUCUAUGCCUGAUGCUGACAGGAAUCUCUUUGACAGGCUUUCUCAACUUCAUGCCAUUCAAAAUAUUGGACUACAAUUCCCAUAUCAUAGCCAACCUCAGCUAAGUUAUAGGUAAAGAGGGAUUUCUGCAAUAUCAUAUUUCAGAACUUUUCCCACACAAGUGAAACUCAAACAAAUAUAAACUAAGUAAUUGUUUCACUUUUAUUGGAUGUAAUAUAUAUAUUAGGAGCUUAGUAAUUUAUUUAUUUCUGGGAGGUUACAAACAUUAGAUCUAUGCCUUUUAAUAUGAUAUUUGCUGUCUUAUUUAAUGUUGUAUAAUCAGCCUCAAACUAUGUCCUCAUAUAGAUUUGUAUAGGGACAACAAUAUAUUACAUCACAACUCCUGUCCAAUAAA